Molecule: unclassified non-coding RNA, 2025 nt
Filed under: Stegodyphus dumicola
Lineage: Eukaryota; Metazoa; Arthropoda; Arachnida; Araneae; Eresidae
Description: alkyldihydroxyacetonephosphate synthase, peroxisomal- like, transcript variant X1
Source: RNAcentral
UGCUCUUCCCAGUUUCGAAUUAUCAAUUUGUUUAUGGGGAAGCUGUCUCGUGUUUGCAUUCUGUAUUUAAUUUUGUGAAGUAUAAUUCGGUAAUAUAGUGUGCAUCUCAUUUGUAUUUAAAUUUUGAAAAUUUCUACUGAUUCUGAUUAGAAAUAUAGUCACAUUAAAAAAAGAAAACUAUUGCUAUUUAAUAAUUACAUUUAUCAUGCCGGUAAAAGAUCGUAUUGCGACAAUUAAACGUCAUCUUUCGGGAAGCCAAGUAGAAAAUGAAAUAUCUGAAGAUUCAAAACGCACUAUUCCAAAACGAAGGCAAGAAUUGUUGAAAUGGAAUGGUUGGGGCUACAAGGAUUCACGAUUUCAUCUAAAUAAUAAAGUAAACCAAGUUGCAUUUUCUGGUGACAGGUAUCCUAUAGGCAAUAAAAUUUUGCCUAAUUUCAAAUCAUGGGUUGAAAAUACAUUUGCCAUCGACUUAUUAAAAGUACAUUUCCCUGCUCAGGCAGAAAUAAAAGAUGAAGAUAUACCAAAGCCAAUUAUUAAUGACAAAUUUAUGGAAGAUUUUAAACAGCUUGGAAUAGAUUAUUCUGUGGACUCUCAGGAUCGUCUUUUCAGAGCUCAUGGUCAUACUAUGAGAGAAAUUUUUAUUUUAAGAGAAAGUGUUUUUGAAAGAGUACCAGAUAUAGUAAUUUGGCCUAGAUGCCAUGAUGAUGUCUUAAAUAUUGUUCAGUGUGCCACUGAGCACAAUGUCGCAAUAAUACCUUUUGGUGGUGGAACCAGUGUAUCUGGUGGUGUUGAGUGUCCAGCUCAUGAAAAAAGAAUGAUAAUUUCGCUUGAUACAUCUCAAAUGAAUAGAAUUUUAUGGGUAAACAAAGAUAAUAAUACAGCUCUGGUGGAAGCUGGUAUUAUUGGACAAGAUUUAGAACGAGAACUAGCAAAAUUUGGCCUGUGUACAGGACAUGAACCAGAUUCAUAUGAAUUUAGUUCCCUUGGUGGCUGGGUUGCAACUAGAGCUUCAGGUAUGAAAAAGAAUAUAUAUGGUAACAUAGAGGACAUGCUGGUACAUGUGAGAAUGGUUACUCCCAGUGGAGAAGUGCAGAAAAAUUGCCAAGUGCCUAGAAUAUCUAGUGGUCCUGAUAUUCACCAAUUUAUUCUUGGAUCUGAAGGUACUCUAGGUGUUGUUACUGAAGUAAUUAUCCGAGUGCGUCCUAUUCCAGCAUGUGUGAAGUAUGGAUCCAUUGUUUUUCCAUCUUUUGAACCAGGUGUUGCCUUUCUUAGAGAAGUUGUACGCCAGCAACUGAAACCUGCAUCCAUUAGACUUAUGGACAAUGAGCAAUUCACAUUUGGUCAUGCCUUAAAACCAGAGUCAACAUCAUUGGUUGCUUCAGUUAUGGAUUAUCUUAAAAAGUUCUAUGUAACUCAAAUUAAAGGAUUUGAUAUUCAUAAAAUGUGUGUUGUCACUCUACUCAUGGAAGGAACUAAAGAGGAUGUUGAUGCUUUGGAAAGGCGCAUCAUUAGUAUUGCUGCUAAAUUUGGUGGUCUUGCUGCUGGAGAAGACAAUGGAAAAAGAGGCUAUAUGCUUACAUUUGUUAUAGCUUAUAUUCGAGAUCUUGGUUUGGAGUAUGGUGUAGUAUCAGAAUCCUUUGAGACAUCGGUACCAUGGGAUCGAGUUACUGAUUUGUGUAGAAAUGUAAAAGAUAGAAUACACAGAGAAGUGCACAGCCACGGAAUACAGUAUCCAGCAUUUGCUUCUUGUCGUGUUACACAAUCCUAUGAUGUUGGUGCAUGUGUGUAUUUUUAUUUUGCAUUUGGUUACAUAGGAGUUUCAGAUCCAGUUCAUACAUAUGAAAGUAUAGAGUAUUGUUUUGGGAAAAUUUAAAGAGUAUUUAUGAAAACUGCUGCACGAGAUGAAAUUAUUGCUAGUGGAGGUAGUAUUUCUCAUCAUCAUGGAGUUGGGAAAUUAAGAAAACGGUGGCUUCCACAGACAAUAUCCAAUACCGGUGUCCAAAUGCUGAAGGCCGUUAAAGAUAG